GGGGUUAUGGUCUAACCUGGCUACGAUUGCCGGUUUGGGACCGGCCGAUCCCGGUUCAAAUCCGGGUAGCCCCA
This 74-nucleotide transfer RNA is filed under the name Candidatus Woesearchaeota archaeon. RNAcentral's name for it is "tRNA-Pro". It matches the Rfam family "tRNA". Rfam says of the family: Transfer RNA (tRNA) molecules are approximately 80 nucleotides in length. Lineage: Archaea; Nanobdellati; Candidatus Woesearchaeota. The record is from RNAcentral.